Long non-coding RNA from Sarcophilus harrisii (Tasmanian devil), 1512 nucleotides. RefSeq lists it as uncharacterized. The transcript has 2 exons. The record is from RefSeq and is a predicted model, not a curated record. Lineage: Eukaryota; Metazoa; Chordata; Mammalia; Dasyuromorphia; Dasyuridae.
CACACAGAACCGCCGGGCCCCAUGGCAACGUUGCAUACAGGGACAUCAAACAGGCUGGGGUUUAGGAAGUCGGCUUGGUGGACCUACGUCACUGUGGUUAUCACUGCUCUGAGCAGCAGCAGUGGGCCCGUGGCCCAGUCUGAAGGCACUUUAGUCUGGCCUCCCUGCCCACCCCCACUGCCUUGACAGCCUUGAUUUUCUCCAUGCCAAGGGGCCCAUGCCUGCCUGUUGUCCCGGUAACCAGCCAUGUUAUGGAUCUACUCUGGGAUCCCCAGCCGCUCCCCACAUCCGGGAAAUGCCUGGGCCCAGGCUUCCCCACCCCUGGGCUUGGAAUCUCAGAGUGCAAGGAAAAAGGUCUGGCUCCUGCACUGUUCUCGCUAAGGGACUGGAGGCACUGGAUGGGGGCAGAAAGCUCCAGAUUCUUCCCGUCUCAUCUUGAGAUUUCUUUGGACUGAUACCCAGUGCUCUAGCUACUGGUCCAAACUUUGUUGAUGGUUUGUGACAGAAUUUCAGGCCCCAAACUCAAAUAUAAUAUGGGGCCCAUAUGGGCCCCAAGGUGGCCCCAGUACCUACCCAGCCAGCUCUGCCCCUAGUGGAUCAUUGAUGAGAUCCCAGUGGCCAGGCCCAAAGAAUCCCCUGGGAAGGGCAGUGGCUGGGCGUUAACCAAGGGCAUAGGGUGAGUCAGGAGAGAAUAGGGCACAGUGCCCCCAACCCUGCCAUGCCUGCACAUCACACCACCCGCCCUGGGUGCUGACUCACCACCACCCAGAAUACUCUUUGACAGACAGUUCCUGUCCCCAAAGUUACCAAGGUACCCUUGCAACAGGCUGGGGCCAUCAGAAGGGGGAAGUCCCAGCUGCUGCCAGAAGGUACUUCCCAGGUUAAGGAGGUUGGGGAAAAUCUAUGAAGAUUCAUAGAACUUCCAGAACCACAUCUGGUAGCACAUCUGUUGGCCCAGCUGCCAUCCCAGGCACAGCCCAGAGACUGGUACAUAUAGAGUUAACUGGGGCCCUUCUGGGGUCUUCUACCCCAUCUCCCCCCAGGAUCUCAGCCCCUGUGACGUCACUAGGGAUUGCCAUAGCAACCACUGGAAGUUCCCAAAUAAAAUUACUGUGUCGGGUUAAGUUUCCUUGGAGCUAGGCAGCAGUAAACAAUGGCAGGCGAGGCCAGUCUGGCCGGGCUGGGGGGCCCAGGAGGGGGCCCGAUCCAACCUCAACCCUUUCUCCCACCCCCAACCAGUAGGGAGACUAUACUGCUAAAGCACUGGGCAUUGAUUGACACAGACAGAAGUGGAAAGAGAACUGAGGACAGAGAUAGAUAACGGAAAGAGGACUAUAGGAAUAGAGCUGGGGAAGAGACAGGAACAGAUAAACUGCCCUGAAGAGAAACAAACCAAACAUCUUGGUAGAGUGGAAAGCCCAAUGGUUUGGGGUUGGAAUCCUGCCUCUAUUGAGGUUUUCCUUAAGUCACUUCCCACAUCUGGACCUCAAAUGAAAACACUAAGGCUGGGUU